GGCUCCAUAGCUCAGUGGUUAGAGCGCUAGUCUAGUAAACUAGAAGUCGCGAGUUCGAUCCUCGCUGGAGCCU
Transfer RNA from Astyanax mexicanus (Mexican tetra), 73 nucleotides. It matches the Rfam family "tRNA". From Rfam's summary of the family: Transfer RNA (tRNA) molecules are approximately 80 nucleotides in length. Their secondary structure includes four short double-helical elements and three loops (D, anti-codon, and T loops). Further hydrogen bonds mediate the characteristic L-shaped molecular structure. tRNAs have two regions of fundamental functional importance: the anti-codon, which is responsible for specific mRNA codon recognition, and the 3' end, to which the tRNAs corresponding amino acid is attached (by aminoacyl-tRNA synthetases). tRNAs cope with the degeneracy of the genetic code in two manners: having more than one tRNA (with a specific anti-codon) for a particular amino acid; and 'wobble' base-pairing, i.e. permitting non-standard base-pairing at the 3rd anti-codon position. The record is from Rfam. Lineage: Eukaryota; Metazoa; Chordata; Actinopteri; Characiformes; Acestrorhamphidae.